AGAGUUUGAUCCUGGCUCAGAUUGAACGCUGGCGGCAGGCCUAACACAUGCAAGUCGAGCGGCAGCGGGAGGUGCUUGCACCUCGCCGGCGAGCGGCGGACGGGUGAGUAAUGCAUAGGAAUCUGCCCGGUAGUGGGGGAUAACCUGGGGAAACCCAGGCUAAUACCGCAUACGUCCUACGGGAGAAAGCGGGGGCUCUUCGGACCUCGCGCUAUCGGAUGAGCCUAUGUCGGAUUAGCUGGUUGGUGAGGUAACGGCUCACCAAGGCGACGAUCCGUAGCUGGUCUGAGAGGAUGAUCAGCCACACUGGGACUGAGACACGGCCCAGACUCCUACGGGAGGCAGCAGUGGGGAAUAUUGGACAAUGGGCGCAAGCCUGAUCCAGCCAUGCCGCGUGUGUGAAGAAGGCUUUCGGGUUGUAAAGCACUUUCAGUGGGGAAGAAAGCCUGUCGGCGAAUACCCGGCAGGGACGACAUCACCCACAGAAGAAGCACCGGCUAACUCCGUGCCAGCAGCCGCGGUAAUACGGAGGGUGCGAGCGUUAAUCGGAAUUACUGGGCGUAAAGCGCGCGUAGGUGGCUUGAUAAGCCGGUUGUGAAGCCCCGGGCUCAACCUGGGAACGGCAUCCGGAACUGUCAGGCUAGAGUGCAGGAGAGGAAGGUAGAAUUCCCGGUGUAGCGGUGAAAUGCGUAGAGAUCGGGAGGAAUACCAGUGGCGAAGGCGGCCUUCUGGACUGACACUGACACUGAGGUGCGAAAGCGUGGGUAGCAAACAGGAUUAGAUACCCUGGUAGUCCACGCCGUAAACGAUGUCGACUAGCCGUUGGGUGCCUCGAGCACUUAGUGGCGCAGUUAACGCGAUAAGUCGACCGCCUGGGGAGUACGGCCGCAAGGUUAAAACUCAAAUGAAUUGACGGGGGCCCGCACAAGCGGUGGAGCAUGUGGUUUAAUUCGAUGCAACGCGAAGAACCUUACCUACCCUUGACAUCCUCGGAACCCUCUGGAGACAGAGGGGUGCCUUCGGGAACCGAGAGACAGGUGCUGCAUGGCUGUCGUCAGCUCGUGUUGUGAAAUGUUGGGUUAAGUCCCGUAACGAGCGCAACCCCUGUCCCUAUUUGCCAGCGAUUCGGUCGGGAACUCUAGGGAGACUGCCGGUGACAAACCGGAGGAAGGUGGGGACGACGUCAAGUCAUCAUGGCCCUUACGGGUAGGGCUACACACGUGCUACAAUGGCAGGUACAAAGGGUUGCAAGACGGCGACGUGGAGCUAAUCCCAGAAAGCCUGCCUCAGUCCGGAUUGGAGUCUGCAACUCGACUCCAUGAAGUCGGAAUCGCUAGUAAUCGUGAAUCAGAGUGUCACGGUGAAUACGUUCCCGGGCCUUGCACACACCGCCCGUC
This 1397-nucleotide ribosomal RNA is filed under the name uncultured bacterium. RNAcentral describes it as "bacterial SSU rRNA". It matches the Rfam family "Bacterial small subunit ribosomal RNA". The record is from RNAcentral.